GCUUCUUUCUCGCCAUAUAUAUCACGGUCAGUAUACACGUGGCCCGAAGCGUCCCCGCCAUGUUCUCGCUGAGUUUUUGGCGUUAAAGAUUCAAGCUGUGUCAACUUCGAAUGUGCAUCAUAAUUUCAGCUAACCAUAUAAAUGGAUUAAUCAGGAUAACACACGCAUACCGAAAUGAAUUAAAUUUUAUUUUCUGUGUAAAUCUCCAGACUGGAGGACACGGAGAAUUAUCAGGUUUGGCGGCGUCGUGCAACGAUUGAGUGGUUACCGGUCUCCAGUUGAACAUAGCAAGAGGUGCACACAU
Molecule: long non-coding RNA, 304 nt
Organism: Priapulus caudatus
Lineage: Eukaryota; Metazoa; Priapulida; Priapulimorpha; Priapulimorphida; Priapulidae
Exons: 3
Source: RefSeq, a predicted model, not a curated record